Molecule: long non-coding RNA, 1029 nt
Filed under: Gallus gallus (chicken)
Lineage: Eukaryota; Metazoa; Chordata; Aves; Galliformes; Phasianidae
Description: lncRNA (ENSGALG00010026324.1)
Source: RNAcentral
ACCAAAAGGAGGUGCUUUCAAAUACACAGCCUUUAAUCUGGAGGAAAUAUAUGCCCAGUUUGUAGCCCUCAUCGCUUCUACAGUGGCUAAUGUUGCUGCUUACAGGAACAGAGAAGUGGAUGAGAGACAGUGGCACCUUCAGCAUCCUACAUCAUGGAGAAAAAUGUACUUUUGUUAAAAUACAGUGGGGCAGUGCCUGAAUUUUCAAAGGAGCCAAAGUACAAUAUCCAGAAGCUUUAUGCAGCUCAAGAUAGCAAUAUCCAAUAAACUUUCUCCCAGCACCAAUGGCUGGCAGGAGAGAGAAAAUCUUUUGGUAGCUAUCUCUAGUUUUCUUCUGAGAGACCUGCAGCGUGCUCUGGGUCCUCAGAGGCAGCUGUGCUUGUGCAGUACUACAGCAACACCAUGGUGGUGUCCCAGCUUUCCUUGAUAUUCGUAGUACCUUCAAGUAUACAAGUCUGUUCACUGAAAAGACCAUGCAAAAAAGAGUGAAAACUGCUACAGUUUAGGUCUAACCUUCUUCCAGAAGGCAGCAUAAGAGGCAAGGCUCUAAUACAGAUCCAAAGACAAUGUAGACUUUAAAGACAAAUCUAGACUAAGUGCAACCACAGUGUAGCUCAGAACAAGGUUGAAAACCAUGGCCCAAAUUUAAAGGGAGUUUCUGUAGUAGUGGGCAGAAUGUGGGUACCAGGUGAGGCCUGUGAGAGCAAUUAAGGCCAACUAGUGUAGUCAUGCUCUGACAGAUACGAGCACCUUGCCCAGGUCAUGAAUUCAAGCCCUUAGUCUGGUUGGCUAGAAACAUGGAGAGUCUUAGUUAUUGCUUAGUUUACCGUCAAUUUAGUAACUGUUUUAAUUUUUGCGGUUAGUCAUGUUCGUGUAUCAGAAUUUGUUGAGCUGAGGAAAUUCUAAUACAUGCUACUCAUUUCUUUUCGUUAUUUCUGUUCUCACAGGGUAGAAAAAGAUAUUCAGAGAUUCUGGAUAUACAGCUGUUUUACAAUUAUAUCUGUGCCUUUCAAUACAUUAGCAAGAUUU